UAAUACAAUUCAAUUCAUUUUUUUUUUUUGAAGAUUCCCAACCUAUCUCUCACUCUUCUCUCUUCAAACCCUAACCCUAUAUCCUUUGAUCGGCGGCAAUUCUAUGGGCAGCAGUGAAAGGCGAGCAAAAGCGGCAGUGAGCGACUGAGGUAUUCACCCAAAAAAAAAAUAGAAUAAUUGAGGUAUUGAUAUUGAUUUUGAAGUCAAAGCAGGUGAGAUUUUUCAAAGAUCUGAUUCUGUGAAGUCUAAAAUUUGUCUUUCUCAUGAACACGGGCACGUGGUUGAUUUGAUUCAUUUGGCGUCGCAUUUUCAAUGAGUGGAGCAGCAGAGGUAUUCUAUGCAAGUGAAACAGGAAAAUGGGAUAUUGGGGUAUGUAUCUCAUUGGUUUCCAAUUGGGCAGCUAUCUGUUUUUUGGUAACUCUGAGCAAGUGUUGAGAUCCAAUAAAUGAGCAAUGAUUCUAUCUCUUUUGUUUUGGUAUAUAUCUUUAUCAUUGGAGUCUUUGUCAUCUCAUUAUCUUUUGUUGUCAUGUUAAUUGAUCUUUAUUUUUAUUUUUUCUGAAUGAGACAUGUUAUUAACUAUGCUUCUGGACAGGGAUGUGGAAAGAGUUUCACGCAGAAUGUGCAAUGCAAUGCAGCUUAUGUUACUUUUGUAUUAGCUCAAAAUCUCCAGGUCUUAGCAAUCCUAAUGCCGUCUGAUUACAUCCCAGGACAUAAGAUUACUGUACUGGAACAAGCAUUCAACCGAAAUCUACUGGGAUCAUUUCUUCGGAUUGGCAAUGGUGGAAAAUAGUUCGGGCUGGAUCAGAAGAUUUGAUUGUGUUUUUGGAAAUAUUUUGACAUAGGAUUUUGGUAAAUGAUUUAUAAAUUAAAUGUUUAGCAUCAAAAUAUUUGGUGUUGUGUUUUUGCAAAUAUUUUGACAUAGGAUUUUGAUAAAUGACUUGUUGGUUAGAUAGUUAGCAUCAAAAUAUUUGGUUGUGUUUUUGAAAAUAUUUUGGCAUAGGAUUUGGUAAUGUAUUUAUGGGUUUGAUGUUAAUAGUUUGUAAAUACUUUGGUAUGCAUGUUUUAGAUUGUCAGAGAAUUGUAAUUAUGUUUAUUAGGACUUUUCAUAGCUAUUAAUUUUGAAU
Molecule: non-coding RNA, 1124 nt
Organism: Camellia sinensis
Lineage: Eukaryota; Viridiplantae; Streptophyta; Magnoliopsida; Ericales; Theaceae
Source: RefSeq, a predicted model, not a curated record